AAAUAACCAUGUCCAAAUUAUAUUUGGAAAACUAACCCUCCUUUUGCCAUAUAGGUGUCAGGGUGAAGAUUUUCUUUGAAGACGGUAAAUCAUUCACCGGCUUUAGUAACCGCCUUUCUAAUUUUCCACAAAGGCGGUGAAUAAUUCACUUUCUAUAUUCUAUAUAUAAUCCUAACAACUAAAUAAAAAUUUUAACAAAUCACAUAUAAUCUUAACAACUUGAAAAUUCUAAUAAUUUAUCCAUACAAUUUCAUAUAAUCUUAACGGUCUAAAAAUCCUAAUAGUCUAUCCAUAUAAUUUCAUAUAAUAUAUCUUAACAGCCUGAAGAUCCUAAUAAUCUAUUUAUACAAUUUCAUAUAAUUUUAAAAUUCUAAUAAUCUAUCCAUACAAUUCUAAUAAUCAAAUAAAAAUUAUAAUAAUCCACAUAUAAUCCUAAAAAGAAAUAGAAGAAAGCGGUGAACGAUUCACUGCAUUUAAAAGAAAUUGGAGAAUGAUUCACCGCCGUUAAAAGACAUGGGAGUACGCGGUGAACCAUUCACCGCUUUUCGAAAAUAACCUCACGUGGUUCUUAUGUGGCGAAAAGAGGGUUAGUUUGUCAGAUAUAAAUUUGGCCGAAUUAUUUCACAAAUUAUAAAAUUUUUAGUAGGUUAUUUUAUAAAAAAUUCCCU
This 668-nucleotide long non-coding RNA is filed under the name Ananas comosus (pineapple). Its description in RNAcentral is "long non-coding RNA (ACOM_LNC026969)". Lineage: Eukaryota; Viridiplantae; Streptophyta; Magnoliopsida; Poales; Bromeliaceae. The record is from RNAcentral.